Molecule: ribosomal RNA, 247 nt
Filed under: uncultured Castellaniella sp.
Lineage: Bacteria; Pseudomonadati; Pseudomonadota; Betaproteobacteria; Burkholderiales; Alcaligenaceae
Description: partial 16S ribosomal RNA
Rfam family: Bacterial small subunit ribosomal RNA
Source: RNAcentral
CACGCCCUAAACGAUGUCAACUAGCUGUUGGGGUUUAUUAACCUUAGUAGCGCAGCUAACGCGUGAAGUUGACCGCCUGGGGAGUACGGUCGCAAGAUUAAAACUCAAAGGAAUUGACGGGGACCCGCACAAGCGGUGGAUGAUGUGGAUUAAUUCGAUGCAACGCGAAAAACCUUACCUACCCUUGACAUGUCUGGAAUCCUUUAGAGAUAGAGGAGUGCUCGCAAGAGAACCGGAACACAGGUGC